Molecule: ribosomal RNA, 243 nt
Filed under: uncultured eukaryote
Lineage: Eukaryota
Description: partial 18S ribosomal RNA
Source: RNAcentral
UGGUGGAGCGAUUUGUCUGGUUAAUUCCGAUAACGAGCGAGACUCUGACCUGCUAGUUAGCUCACUUCGUCCGAGGGCGUCGAAUCCGCCUCGCGCGCCACCUCGGUGGUGGGCCGCGCGGUAUCCCCUCGGGGCGCCGUUCGGUUCAGAUUUCAUCGCCUGGGCGUCGUAGGGGUAGCUUCGGCUCUCCGCUAGCGCCCCUUCCCCGGAGAUCCAUGUCGUUCGGGCGGAGGGGUCGAGCUU